UCCAGCUGAGGGCUUGUGCCAAAUGAAUCAAAACCACCUGCAACAUACAUGACCUGAACUGAAUUUUUUGACAGAAAACAAUGCUGUGAUUGGACCUCGGAGGAAACUACACCCACACCAUCUGAUGUCUGUCCUGCUGCAGAUUCUGUGAUCAGGUACCUGGGGGAACUAUCUCUGAUUUGGACCCAUCUUGUCCACCAUAACUUGCAUCUGUAAGUGAAAUAAUUUCAAUGAUUAGGCAGUAAACUUGUAAGAGUAAAAAGAAAAGCAUAUUUACAGCAGAUGAACAGGUACAGUACCAUGAGAACUUGAGCCAGAUGGCUGAGAGUACCCGUCUCUACCGUUACUUCCUGUAACCCACACAGAAAUAUUACUGAGAGGAAAUUCUUUGUACAAUAAUAAAUCACUGCUGUCAAUCUUAAAAA
This is a long non-coding RNA of Cyprinus carpio (common carp), 425 nucleotides long. Lineage: Eukaryota; Metazoa; Chordata; Actinopteri; Cypriniformes; Cyprinidae. The record is from Ensembl.